CAUGCAGUCGAGCGAACAGACGAGGAGCUUGCUCCUUUGACGUUAGCGGCGGACGGGGUGAGUAACACGUGGGGUAACCUACCUAUAAGACUGGGAUAACUUCGGGAAACCGGAGCUAAUACCGGAUAAUAUUUCGAACCGCAUGGUUCGAUAGUGAAAGAUGGUUUUGCUAUCACUUAUAGAUGGACCCGCGCCGUAUUAGCUAGUUGGUAAGGUAACGGCUUACCAAGGCGACGAUACGUAGCCGACCUGAGAGGGUGAUCGGCCACACUGGAACUGAGACACGGUCCAGACUCCUACGGGAGGCAGCAGUAGGGAAUCUUCCGCAAUGGGCGAAAGCCUGACGGAGCAACGCCGCGUGAGUGAUGAAGGUCUUCGGAUCGUAAAACUCUGUUAUUAGGGAAGAACAUACGUGUAAGUAACUAUGCACGUCUUGACGGUACCUAAUCAGAAAGCCACGGCUAACUACGUGCCAGCAGCCGCGGUAAUACGUAGGUGGCAAGCGUUAUCCGGAAUUAUUGGGCGUAAAGCGCGCGUAGGCGGUUUUUUAAGUCUGAUGUGAAAGCCCACGGCUCAACCGUGGAGGGUCAUUGGAAACUGGAAAACUUGAGUGCAGAAGAGGAAAGUGGAAUUCCAUGUGUAGCGGUGAAAUGCGCAGAGAUAUGGAGGAACACCAGUGGCGAAGGCGACUUUCUGGUCUGUAACUGACGCUGAUGUGCGAAAGCGUGGGGAUCAAACAGGAUUAGAUACCCUGGUAGUCCACGCCGUAA
Molecule: ribosomal RNA, 770 nt
Filed under: Staphylococcus sp. BD41
Lineage: Bacteria; Bacillati; Bacillota; Bacilli; Caryophanales; Staphylococcaceae
Description: bacterial SSU rRNA
Rfam family: Bacterial small subunit ribosomal RNA
Source: RNAcentral